AAUAAGACAAAGAUGUGUAAGUUUUGUUGUGGAGCUAAUCAAACAGCUUGAGCAACGUCUGCCUGACAAUGUUCAAGUCUUGCAGUCAAUGUCCUUACUGAGUGCAGGUGAAUGCUUGCAACCCAUAAAGCCUGGAAUAAUAGAUCUAGCAAAGAUGUUCACUGAGAGUGAUGAAAUUUUGACACGAAUUGACUUCCAGUGGAGAAAUCUACAUAAAAUACUGUGGAAGAAAAAUACUGACACAUCAGAACUCUGGGCUGAAAUAUCUUCGCACACAGAUGCAACUGGAGAAAACCCCUUCAGUGAUCUUGCAGAAUUGGCUUUGACUGUCCUAACACUACCUCACUCGAAUGCAGAUGUGGAACGCAUCUUCAGUCACAUGAAUAUCGUGAAGUCAAAGCUACGAAAUCGGCUGAGUAUCAAAAGCUUAAAUGCGUUGCUGACUAUUAGAUAUGGACUACGAAGAAAUGGAAGCUGCUGCUAUGAUUACAAACUGCCUAAGGAAGUACUUCAAAGUAUUGGAACACUUAAAGCAUACGAGUCAUCACAAUCUCCAGCAGGAUGCUCACACACACAACCACAGCAGAGUGCCGCCACAGACGAAGAGAUUGGAGACUGGGAGCUGGCAGAUUUGGAGUAAAAGUUUCAGUGAUGAAGUUUGUGAUGGAGCAUGUGAGCAGAUUGAGGAUGGCUAGGCAGGCUGGGUGGUCUCUGCAGCCAGCCUGAUAGUAUCCACAUCACUCCACUCUCCCUUAUUCUCACCAAGGGAGGCAAUGCACCACAUCUCACGUAGGACGUGCUGCACCGGUGGCGAGGCGUCGAGGGAAGCACCUCUUUGUGUCCCAGCCCACCACUUUACUGAACACAUGAAGGUGCUCCAGAGUUUCAAGAAGGGUGGCACACAUACUUAGCUGCACUACAAGCUUUUGGAGGUCCAGCAACACACUGCACACUUCUUUCCUAAACGUGUGUGCAGAGUGCAAGACAGAGUGGCAAGGAUGGAGGAUGCAUCAACAUUAACAGCGUUAUUGGUUCAAGCUUUCUUUUUUUUGUGUGUGUGUUUGUGUGUGUGGAAAGAAGUGCACACAGUUUUAACCGAAGGAUUAUAUGUGUGUGUGUGUGUGUGUGUGUGGGCAGCUUUAUGGGCAAGUGUGCCAGUCAUUCCUUGAAUUCAAUGUUUUUCAUUUAGGGAAAAAUUGUUGUAUAUAAUUAGGUUUAUAGACAUUUUUGAGUGGGAAUGUUUAGACUGAUUAAAUAGUAAGUUUCUCUACUUUGUAGAGCUUUGCUGUUACUGUUCUGUGUAAGGUUUCAAGGGCCGUAUUCUACAAACCAUCAUAGCUAGUGAUGUGAUUGUAGACAAAAUGGUGCAUUUUAGACACAAGUCCCUCAAUGACAGGCUCUCACCUUGUGACUCGUCAUAAGUGCCAAGACAGGGUUCAGUCUGUUGUAGCGCUGCCAACCACUGUCUUAAAACUCUUCUCAGCAUGGUGAGAGCUUGUUUUAUGUACCAUGGCAUGAUCCCCGACAGUUUUUGAUAUUAAUUAAUGAUAAAUAUCUGUAAUGAUGGCUAAAUAAUGUCCUUUGAUGGAGUAAUUUAUCAUUAUAGAUAACUGCCAAGAGG
This 1621-nucleotide unclassified non-coding RNA is filed under the name Portunus trituberculatus (swimming crab). Its description in RNAcentral is "uncharacterized LOC123518034, transcript variant X3". The record is from RNAcentral. Lineage: Eukaryota; Metazoa; Arthropoda; Malacostraca; Decapoda; Portunidae.